Molecule: ribosomal RNA, 254 nt
Filed under: uncultured bacterium
Lineage: Bacteria
Description: partial 16S ribosomal RNA
Rfam family: Bacterial small subunit ribosomal RNA
Source: RNAcentral
GACGAACCGUGCAAACGUUAUUCGGAAUCACUGGGCUUAAAGCGCGUGUAGGCGGAUUGGAACGUCGGCGCCUGAAAUCCCCCGGCUCAACCGGGGAACGCGGCCCGAAACGACCAGUCUGGAGGGACGUAGGGGGGACUGGAACUUCCGGUGGAGCGGUGAAAUGCGUUGAGAUCGGAAGGAACGCCCGUGGCGAAAGCGAGUCCCUGGACGUCUACUGACGCUGAGACGCGAAAGCUAGGGGAGCGAACGGG